GCUGGGUGUGGUGGCGUGCGCCUGUAGUCCCAGCUACUUGGGAGGCUGAGGCAGGAGAAUUGCUUGGACCCGGGAGGCGGGGGUUGCAGUGAGCCGAGAUCACGCCACUGCACUCCAGCCCGGGUGACAGAGUGAGACUCUGUCCCCA
This 148-nucleotide non-coding RNA is filed under the name Homo sapiens (human). Lineage: Eukaryota; Metazoa; Chordata; Mammalia; Primates; Hominidae. The record is from Rfam by way of RNAcentral.